GGUUAAUGAACUUGUAAAAGUGCUUGCUUUGAAAGCAAGAAAAAAGAGUACAACUCUUAUUAACCU
This 66-nucleotide transfer RNA is filed under the name Tetraphalerus bruchi. RNAcentral's name for it is "tRNA-Ser". It matches the Rfam family "tRNA". Rfam says of the family: Transfer RNA (tRNA) molecules are approximately 80 nucleotides in length. Their secondary structure includes four short double-helical elements and three loops (D, anti-codon, and T loops). Lineage: Eukaryota; Metazoa; Arthropoda; Insecta; Coleoptera; Ommatidae. The record is from RNAcentral.